This 623-nucleotide long non-coding RNA is filed under the name Homo sapiens (human). RNAcentral describes it as "non-protein coding lnc-CAAP1-4:2". Lineage: Eukaryota; Metazoa; Chordata; Mammalia; Primates; Hominidae. The record is from RNAcentral.
AGGUGGAUGUUAGGGUCUUGACAGCAGGGGCACCAUCAUCUUGGACAAACACCACCUCUUUAAGUUCUAGCUCCCUUUCUAACCUCAUGCAUUUCAAGGAAAUCACUUCUCUUCUAACAACAAGCAGCAAGAAAGAGCAGACAGUAAAACACAGAUAAGACAGGUCAGACACAGAGGGAGGGGGAAAGUCUCUUGGGUAACCACCAAACUUCACACUCACACAAUGGGCCCCAGUAAAACAGUGGGCCCUGGUAAGCACAUUACUUUCCCUUUAGGUGCACUAAGAUAGGAAAGCUAAAAGAAGACUCAGGGGGUAUGCCUGCAGCUGCAGGAAGAUGUAUACAAAAACUCUCCCUCCCACAUAAGCAAGACAAAGAGACACAGAAACAUUCGAAGCCUGUGAUAAGGUGGCUUUCUAUGGCUAACUGCCCCUAAACCCUGAAAUGUUCCAACUAAUAAACAGGUAUUUCAAGAUUUCUGAUGUAAUAGAAGUGCAUUAAUUCCAGGAAUCAUUGUACUUGUGUAAAGUCUGUGCCUAUGGAGAAUGAGAGUGUUGUUGAUAGUAUUGAAUUAAGUAAAGUAGAAAUCAUUUUUAAUUAAAAAGUAUUAUUCUUAGCUAAUGU